CGACCAAACAUAAACUUUUCAUUAAACAAAAACAAAAUACAUUAGGUGGGUAGAUUCGAUAUAGAAAAAUAAAAAUACAUAUGCUAAAAGAAAAAACAUAAAUUAUUUAUUAUUAUUAUUAUUAUUAUUAUUCUCAGAUGGCCAAUCGUUAAUCGACAGCAGCAGGGCCCUCCUCAGCCUGCGAAUCUCUCAGGGCAUCCUUGCUCUCACGGUGGCCACCUUCCAUUGGAGUUCAUUAACCUCCUUAUGAAGUUACCACACGGUGUCGCGCAGAAUAGAAAUAUUCCAAACAGGAUCAGCCAUAUCUAGAACACACAUGAAUUGACAAAAAUGUAAACAAAAUAUAAAGAAAGGAGUCCGAAUGUAAUACAACAUAUACUACGAACUGGUAGAUUUACCAAAAAAAAAACUUACCUCAACGAGAAAGGAAUAUGCUCUUUGAAGAGAAGUGGUUGAAGAUGUAAUACGAAAGACAAAAUGCAAAAAAUAAAUAAAGUAGAGUAGAAUGAAUGAGUAUGGGGGGGCUAUUUAUAGAGGAUUGAAUCUGAAUUUGGUGGGCAAAAAGUCACGACUUUUCACCUCCAUUUUAUUAAUUACAUUUAAACUGGUGACUUUUUGAUUACUGUGAAAAGUAUGACUUAAUUAAAUCAAGGUGGUGACUUUUUGAUUAUUGUGACAAGUCAUGACUCUUCGGCAUCUUAAUAUUAAUUAGUUCUUAAAAUUAAAUAACCGUUUUUCUCAAUUAAAUAAUCAAACUUUUCUCUCCUUUUAAAUAACUAUUUUAUUUAAUAAUAUCCAUUUUUAUUGAGUUGUUGCAACAGAUGGUCCAUCUGUUUCCACAGAUUGGUACUUGAAAAGUCAUGACUUAAUUAAAUCAAGCUGGUGACUUUUUGAUUAUUGUGACAAGUCAUGACUCUUCAGCAUCUUAAUAUUAAUUAGUUCUUAAAAUUAAAUAACCAUUUUUUCAAUUAAAUAAUCGAAGACUUCUCACCUUUUCAAUAACCAUUUCAUUUAAUAAUAUCUAUUUUUAUUGAGUUGUGACAACAUAUGGUCUAUCUAUUUCAUUAGAUAACCAAUCCGUGAAAACAGAUUUUUCAUCUGUUGCAACAAAUGGUCCAUCUAUUUCAACAGAUGAUCCAUCUAUUGUAACAGAUGAUCCAUCUGUUGGGGAGCAUCUUUUUUAAUAAUUUCCUUAUACCUUAAUUAAUUCAAACUGGUGACUUUUAGAUUAUUUAAAUUACAAAAGCAUAUUUAAAAACAAAAAGGUGAAAAGUCAUGACUUUUAUCCUAUUUAAUAUUAACAUCAGUUAAUUAAAAUUAAAUAGCCAUUUUUUAUGAUUUUAAAUUGCUUUUAUCAUUUAUUUCCUUAUUAUUUAUUUAUGAAUUAUUUUUUUUUAUUAAAUAAUUGAAAAGUCACGACUUUUCACCAUUUCAAUAACCCUUUUUAUUAAUAACCAUUUUUAGCCAGUUUUUCUCAUUUGUUGAAACAGAUUUGUCAUCUGUUCUAAGAAUAGAAACUAGUGACAAGAACUAUAUUGUGUUCUUCUAGCAGAUCUAUGCAACAAAUAUUCCAUCUGUUGCAGCAUAUUGUUCAUCUGUUGGUUAAACGCAAUACAGUCUGAUGAAGAGCUCAUUUGUUUGCACUUAAUGGAGGUCUGAAUCUGAAUGGUUCAGACUUCAAACUAUUAAGUGCAUUUGUUUUUUAUUAAGAUUUUAGCUCUUAAUAGGUCUGAAUAGGUCUUAAUCAUUCAGAUUUAGAAUCAAGUCGUAAUAGGUAUGAAUAGAUAUUCUGGUGUUAGAUAAUAUUCACCGUCACUCUAUUCAUAAUCAUCUGUCACCACCUCUGCCACCGCCAUUAUUGUCAACCACUACCUAUCACCACCACCCACCUCUACUAUCACAACCAUUAUCGAUAAUAAAUAUCGCUACCAACCACUAUUGUCAACCGCUACCACACCUACUACCUUUAUUAUUCUAAUUAUAUUUACCGCUACCACCGCCGUCAACACCACCAUCAUCAUCAACCACUAUCAGCCAAUCCCUACUAUCGAUCAACUUAUCUAUCACAACUAGAACCAUCGCUAACUACCACUAAUACAUCACAACCUCCACACAUUCUUUGGCGACCACUACUAUUGUCACUAGUAAUGCUAUCUCUACCAUCACUUCAAUCACUAUCAUCUCUAUAAUUUAUCUCUACAAACAACCAUCUUUACUAUCACAACUAACAACAUCUCCAACUAGCACCAACACAUCGUCAACCAUCACAAUCAACACCUCCAACUACUAACAUCAAGCAACGUUACAUCAUAACCACUACCAACCGCCACCAUAAUAACAGUCACUACAAUACCAACCAUCACAACUAUCACCACUAAUAUUAGUAAUCACUAACAUCAAUCAUUGUCACCGCAACCACCAUUACAAGCCAUCUCCACUAUCACUAACAAACAUAAAUAUAUUUUUUUAAUCAAAUAAUAAUUUUGUUGUAUUAAAUUACAUACUUUUCUGAUAUAUAAUUGAUUUUUUGUUUGAAUUGUAUUUUUAUUUUAUUAUAACUACAAAUAAUUUUUUUUUCAGAUUCAGAUGUUGAAAAACAAACAGUCUUAAUCAUUCAAUUCUCAGAUCUAGAGAUAAUUCUUAAUCAUUCAGAUGUGUAUUCAGAUUCAGAUGUUUAAAUCUUUAAAAAAAAUAAAUGCAGCCAAAGUGUAUUAUGUUCUUCCAGUCAAUGUCCAUCUGUUGCAACAUAUGGGUAAUCUGCUGAGUAUAUUUUUUGUAUUCUAUUGUAUUUAGUUUCUGCUUGGUUAUCUCUUUUUAUUGAUUCAUAAGUUAUUAAAAAUAUAUUUUAUAUAAUAAAUAAUAACAGUUACAUCCCCAACAAUGAUUUAAAAUUAUCAAAGUCCAUAUCAAACACCAAUACAAGUUUACUAUUACAAUGAUCAUGGUGCAUUACAUACGUAACACUUGUUUUUUCUUGAUGGGCAUAUAGUCCUUUGACGUUCAAGAUGGUUACCUGUUGAGUAUCUGUAGUUUAGUACACUACUUCACGAUGGGAACUGAAGAUUAAACACUGUUUGAAAUUGAUGGGGUAGGAAGAAUAAGGUGUGUACAUAUGGAUAGAUCUACUUUCAUGCGUGAGAGUUAUGUGUACUGAUCACGUUAUCGUGACAAUACACAUAAAGUAUAAUGAUUUUGUGAAUGCAGUUUUUUAUCGCUUAGGCAUCGAUCCUACAAACAAGGUCAUGCAUUUUAUAGUUAAGUUUGAUAGGUGCUAACUGAUAAAGCCGAAGGGUUCCAAGAAGGUGGUAUUGAUCCUUUGUUACAAUUUAAUGACAAUUUUGCUCAUGUUUAUGCAUCGAUUUUUGAGAAGGGAUAAAUAUUUAAUGGUAUUGUAGACAUUCACUAGUGAUUGGACCAAUUUUAAUGAUGCAAUAGACUUUGAAAAGGCCUUCGAAGCCUCCCACUUCAGUAAAUAAGAAUGGAAAACCAAUAGAAAUUCCCCUGGUCCAAAUUUAUAUGGAUGGGUUGCUCGAGGAGACUAUUAUACAAUAAAAGGUGCUUGGGAGAAUACCUAUGCGGGAAAAUGGAGGUGGAGAAGACCAAAAAUAAUCUCAAACCUUGUUUAAGAGGAAAUACAGAGCAGCAAGUAAGGAACUUCUAUCCAAUCGGCCAAUGAAAUUGACUUGAAAGAUGAAAAAACUGAAUGAUCUGCAAAUAGGAAAGUGUAUCCAAAAAUUAAAAUCAGUUAGUCGUUGUUAAAAACAAAAAUGGUAAAGUGGAAUGGAGCUAGAUACUUUGCUAGGAAAUUGAGACUAGCUAGCAUGACUUGAAUUAAGAUCCACAAAGCACAAGAUCAGAACUCUAAGGAAGCAGCUUGGCGAGCACCGAGGAUUGGUAAGAUUUUUAAUCAAUAAUGAAACUUAAACCAACAACUCCUAAAGUAUAAAUAAGGGAAGCUAAUGCGUCAAUUUUUGAAGUCUAAAUUGUAUCUCAUGCCUUCUGUUUGUGGUUCUAAUAAAGUUAGUGGAAGUAGAAAUAAAAAGGUUUGAAGUCAGGCAGAAAUCCAAUGCCUUAUUAUUUUCACUGCUAUUGACUUGACCAAAACCACAAGCAGAAGGCCUGGGAUGUAAGUCUAACUUCAGAAAUUGCCACCUUGGCUUGGUCCCUUAUUUUUACUUUAGGAGUUGUUGGUUCAAGUUUCAUUCCUGACUAACCAUCUUACCACCCUUGGUGCUCGCAAAGCUACAACCUCAGAGUUCUGAUCCUGCGCUCCGUGGGUCAUCACUCUGGAUGCAGUAUCUAGUUGUUGUUCCCUAGCAAAGUGCACAACUCCAGUCCACUUUACUAUUUCUUUUCAAAAUCGACUGAUGGGUAUUUAUUUUUGGAUACACUUUUAUUUUUUCAGCUCAUUCAAUUUCUUCAUUUUUCAAGUCAAUUUCAUCAGCUCGAUUUGCUACACGUUUCUUGCUACCUUGUGUUUUUUCUUUAAUAAGGUCUGAGUUGAUAUAUAGUCUUUAACACCUCCCCUUUCCCUCACAGAUAUUCUCUUAAGUAAUUUAUGCUGUAUAAGCAUCACCCAAUCAACCCAGCUAUAUAAAUUUGGACUAGGUCAAUAACUAUAUUCAUUUUCAUUCUUGGUUACAAUAUUCGAGGCUUCAAAGGCCUUUCGAAAGUCCAUUGAACCCUUAAAAUCAGUCCAAUCACCAUUGAAUCUUUAUACUGCCACCAAAAACUUGGUCUCUUCUCCUAACUUCACAUAUAAAUAUUAGCAAAACCAUCUUUAAACUAUAACAGGGAAUCGACACCACCUACUUGGUCCCUCGGCCUUAUCAGUUUGAACCUAUUAAUUUUAACUAUAAAAUACAAUAUCUAGUUUGAAUGAUUAAUGCCUAAUCGGUAAAAAAACUUCAUUCACAAAAUCAAUGUGCUCUAUAUGUUUUUUCACGAUAACAUGAUCAGUAAUACAUUACCAACCACAUAUGAAGUAGUUCCAUCUGCAAGCAACUUAUUCCUCUGAACCCAUUUUUACUCUAGCCUUUUAUGUUGGCCGGGCAAACGUUGAUCCAUUUUCACUUUUUUUUCCAUUUGAGAGAUAUUUUUUAUCUACAAACAAAAGAAAAAUAAUAAUAACAUUACAAUUGAUGCCUGCAUAGUUUAAAAAAAGAGGUAACACAAAAAACCUAUUUGUUACAAUCGGUGACCCAUCUGUUGCCACAGGUGACCCAUCUAUUGCAACAGGUGACCCAUCUGUUGUAACAAGUGGGUCAUUUGUUGUCAGAAAUCAAAUAAGCCUUGCUACUGGUUUGAUUUCUCCCAAUAGAUGUUUUUUUUGUUGAAAGAGAUGGGGAAUCUGCUGGAAGAUCGAUACUGAUUCAUCAGUUGCAACACCAACACCACCAACGACAUCAACAACAAAGAAAUAAACAAGAAAUAACCAACAAGUCUUUUUAAGUUCUCCUGUUAGAUGACUUUUUUUUUGCAUAUUUUAAUAAAAAUAAUGGUUUGUUCAUUCAAGAUUCAGAAGACACCUUUUCUUUAAUUUUCUCAGUAAAUAGGAUAUGGGUAAUGGAUAAAUAAACAAAAAUAACAAAUACAAAUAAGUAAUUUAAAUAACCAAUGUAAGAAUAUGAUAUUCAAAAUUUUAAUUUUCAUCAUAGAAAACAUGAUAAAUUUGAUGAAAUAGGCAAAAAAAAGACGAGAAGGCAAUAAUAAUAACAGAGAGCACAAAUCUAAUAGUGAACCCUACCUGGAUGUCAAAAGCAAAGGGAUCAAACACCAAUUUCAAUUGAGAAAAGAUAUAGAUUAAUUGAGAUCUAAAAGGAUCCUCAGGCAAAGAAGGAGAGAAAAAAGUGAACAUAGAGAAAAAAAGAGAUGUUUGGUAUUACCCCAAAGAGGAAAGAAAGAGAAAGAAGAGAGAUAAAUUAUUUAAUAUGUGGUUGAAG
This 5942-nucleotide long non-coding RNA is filed under the name Capsicum annuum. RNAcentral describes it as "long non-coding RNA (CANN_LNC000867)". Lineage: Eukaryota; Viridiplantae; Streptophyta; Magnoliopsida; Solanales; Solanaceae. The record is from RNAcentral.